RNAcentral lists this ribosomal RNA (478 nucleotides) under uncultured bacterium. RNAcentral's name for it is "partial 16S ribosomal RNA". It matches the Rfam family "Bacterial small subunit ribosomal RNA", at positions 28 to 523 of the family's 1533-position model. The record is from RNAcentral.
GACGAACGCUGGCGGCGUGCUUAACACAUGCAAGUCGAACGGUAAGGCCCUUCGGGGUACACGAGUGGCGAACGGGUGAGUAACACGUGGGUGAUCUGCCCUGCACUUCGGGAUAAGCCUGGGAAACUGGGUCUAAUACCGGAUAGGACCACUGCCUGCAUGGGUGGUGGUGGAAAGCUUUUGCGGUGUGGGAUGGGCCCGCGGCCUAUCAGCUUGUUGGUGGGGUGAUGGCCUACCAAGGCGACGACGGGUAGCCGGCCCGAGAGGGUGACCGGCCACACUGAGCAUGAGAGACGGCCCAGACUCCUACGGGAGGCAGGAGUGGGGAAUAUUGCACAAUGGGCGCAAGCCUGAUGCAGCGACGCCGCGUGAGGGAUGACGGCCUUCGGGUUGUAAACCUCUUUCAGCACCGACGAAGCGCAAGUGACGGUAGGUGCAGAAGAAGGACCGGCCAACUACGUGCCAGCAGCCGCAGUAA